Molecule: long non-coding RNA, 1089 nt
Filed under: Monodelphis domestica (gray short-tailed opossum)
Lineage: Eukaryota; Metazoa; Chordata; Mammalia; Didelphimorphia; Didelphidae
Description: lncRNA (ENSMODG00000045369.1)
Source: RNAcentral
CACAAUGCAAGUUUUGAGUUUCAAAAUAUUGAAGAUUUCCUCUACACCAAAGUCCAGGGCCUUGGUCCACAAAGAUAGUAUGCUGCCAUAUUCUAUUAACCUCUACAGUGUAACCCAAAUCCCUGAUCAGGUUCAUACACAAGGAAGAAUUUCUAUACUUUGUCUUCUCCAAUAUUUUAAGGAUAUUAAAUUUCUUAUCCAUGACCUGAUGUUAGAGGUCUCCAUGGUGAACAAACAUUAUCAUGUGAAAGAAAAGGUACAAAGGAACAAAGAUGGCAUUGGGAGGAGGAGAAGAUAUCCUGUUUGUAGAAAAAGAGUCAAUCAGAGAAACAACAUCACUCCAGUAUGCCUUCUUCAUACAGACUACUUCUCCCUUCCUCCUUCUUUAGGGACCCUCCAAUUCUAGAAGUGGGCUGAGUGAGCUCACAGUGCCCUCUGUUGCCUAACAGAAGUACCAUAACACCCCAGGAUAAGGUAUGUCUGAUAUACAGCUGUAAGUAAGUCCUUUUCUGGCAGACCAUUAUUAUCCCAUGGCAGCCUACCCAGUUCUUUGACAUUCACAGAGGUGAGAAGAAAAGAGGAGGGUGAAAGAGGAAAGAGCUGUUGAAGACUGAGUAGGCAUAUGGAAUGUGUGGUCUUUUUUUUCCAUAUUAAAGACUGUUCUCUCUGCCAGGGCUUCUGGGCACAUGGUCUGCAUAAAGAGAACAUUGGCAUUUACCUACGUGUAAAUGGGCAACUCAGCCUCCUUUUGGACCUGUGACAAUUUGAAUGGAGAGGUCCAAUGAAGAAGCCAAAUGCAGGUCCACAGGGCUUUUCAAGAAAGUUUUUGCCUUGAGAUCCCCUUGAGUUCAUCCUCAAAAAUUUUCUGAUAUGAACCCAUGUUGGAAUUUUUCCCAAAGAAAGCAUCCAGUUUUCUUCCUACAGAAUUUUCCUUCUCAAGAUGUGUCAGAGGGCAGACUACAUUUGUUUUUUCCUUCCUCCUACUAUAUCAUCAUUUUAGUGGUCAUUACCCAACAGGAUCUCAGUACCGUUGGUGAAUCCUUUAAAAAAAAGUUCUGAAAAUAAAGGCGAUUCAAGAGAACCUAUGCA